Molecule: transfer RNA, 73 nt
Filed under: Bos taurus (domestic cattle)
Lineage: Eukaryota; Metazoa; Chordata; Mammalia; Artiodactyla; Bovidae
Also listed under: 3 other names
Rfam family: tRNA
About the family: Transfer RNA (tRNA) molecules are approximately 80 nucleotides in length. Their secondary structure includes four short double-helical elements and three loops (D, anti-codon, and T loops). Further hydrogen bonds mediate the characteristic L-shaped molecular structure. tRNAs have two regions of fundamental functional importance: the anti-codon, which is responsible for specific mRNA codon recognition, and the 3' end, to which the tRNAs corresponding amino acid is attached (by aminoacyl-tRNA synthetases). tRNAs cope with the degeneracy of the genetic code in two manners: having more than one tRNA (with a specific anti-codon) for a particular amino acid; and 'wobble' base-pairing, i.e. permitting non-standard base-pairing at the 3rd anti-codon position.
Source: Rfam by way of RNAcentral
UCCCUGGUGGUCCAGUGGUUAAGACUCUGUGCUCCCAAUUCAGGGGACACAGGUUUGAUUCCUGAUCAAGGAA